Molecule: ribosomal RNA, 483 nt
Filed under: uncultured bacterium
Lineage: Bacteria
Description: partial 16S ribosomal RNA
Rfam family: Bacterial small subunit ribosomal RNA
Source: RNAcentral
GACGAACGCUGGCGGCGUGCUUAACACAUGCAAUUCGAACGAUGAAGCCGGAGCUUGCUCCGGUGGAUUAGUGGCGAACGGGUGAGUAACACGUGAGCAAUCUGCCCUUGACUCUGGGAUAACUGCGGGAACCUGUAGCUAAUACCGGAUACGACACCUUGGGGCAUCCCAGGGUGUGGAAAGAAUUUCGGUCAAGGAUGAGCUCGCGGCCUAUCAGCUAGUUGGUGAGGUAAUGGCUCACCAAGGCGACGACGGGUAGCCGGCCUGAGAGGGUGACCGGCCACACUGGAACUGAGACACGGUCCAGACUCCUACGGGAGGCAGCAGUGGGGAAUAUUGCACAAUGGGCGAAAGCCUGAUGCAGCAACGUCGCGUGAGGGAUGAAGGCCUUCGGGUUGUAAACCUCUUUUAGCAGGGAAGAAGCGAAAGUGACGGUACCUGCAGAAAAAGCACCGGCUAACUACGUGCCAGCCGCCGCCGUAA